This is an RNA transcript of Melozone crissalis (California towhee), 906 nucleotides long. It is a transcript of the gene named nudix hydrolase 5, with no coding region annotated. NCBI's taxonomy places the organism in Eukaryota, Metazoa, Chordata, Aves, Passeriformes, Passerellidae. The transcript is spliced from 9 exons. The record is from RefSeq and is a predicted model, not a curated record.
UGGAUGCAGCCCUGGGCUGAGGGGAAAAACCUGACAUUGCUGAAAAUGGCAGCUGAGACAUCCACAGAAGUUGCAAAAACAGCCAAACAAUCUGUCCUUAAGGAAGAGGUAAUCGUAGAAAGACAAUGGUUGAAGCUUUCAGAAACAACUUACACUGAUCCCUUUGGGAAAACCAGAACUUGGGAAACUGUAAAGCGUACUGGCAACAAAAAGGGAGUUACAGCUGAUGGUGUAGCAGUGAUAGCAGUGCUGCAGAGAACCCUGCACUACGACUGCAUUGUCCUGGUGAAACAGUUCAGGCCCCCAGUCAAUGGCUACUGCUUGGAAUUUCCUGCAGGCCUCAUUGAGGAAAACGAGUCAGCAGAAAGUGCUGCGCUUCGAGAGCUGAAGGAAGAGACUGGCUACAAGGGGGAGGUCAUUGAAUGUACUCCAGCUCUGUGCUUGGACCCAGGAAUGUCAAACAGCACAACACACAUUGUGAGUGUCAUCAUUAAUGGAGAUGAGGCUGAGAACACGAGACCUAAGCAAAACCUUGGUGAGUUUUAAUUUGUGGAAGUUGUUACACUUCCAAAGAAUGACCUACUGCAGAGGAUUGAUGAGCUGGUAGCAGAGGAGCAGCUGGCAGUAGAUGCCAGGGUUUACACGUACGCGCUGGCUCUGAAGCGCGCAGCAGAAAAACCGCUCCAAGUUCCUUUCAUGAAGUUCUAGAACUGGACAAUGAGAAAUUGAAUUCAAAACUGCCCAAGCUGGAUGGCUUAGAAGUAUAACUCUUCUUGUAAUCAAGGUCAUUUACUUUACUUGUUGAGCAAAAAAAGUGUUUGUAGUAAUGAUUCUGGUAUUUUUAUUUCUAAUUAUGUAACUGACAAAAAGCAUUUCUUCUAAUUGCUCUGUCAAGCCUUGACAGAA